AUUGCAAGCAUAUGACACUUCUCCAAUGUUCCAAGCGUGUAGAAGAACUAAGGUGGCCGACACAAAAACGUCACUGGUGUAUCUAGAUCCAGUGUUUGGUUUGUCCAUUCUGGGCUACUGUAGAAACACGGCGGUCGGCUCCGUGAAGAGAACCUGCUCCCUAUGUAUAUAUAAACGGCUCAUUC
Molecule: long non-coding RNA, 185 nt
Organism: Sebastes umbrosus (honeycomb rockfish)
Lineage: Eukaryota; Metazoa; Chordata; Actinopteri; Perciformes; Sebastidae
Exons: 4
Source: RefSeq, a predicted model, not a curated record